CUACUCCUUGCUCUUCCCGCCUAUAUACCGCCGUCGCCAGCUUACCCUGUGAAGGCAUCGCAGUAAGCAAGAUGGGCAAUGCCCAAAACGUCAGGUCGAGGUGUAGCGUACGAAGUAGGAAGAAAUGGGCUACAUUAUCUGAAGCAGAUUAUUCACGGAAAGUCACCUGAAAACGCUGACUCGAAGGUGGAUUUAGCAGUAAGGAGAGAAUAGAGAGCUCUCCUGAAGCCGGCUCUGAAGCGCGCACACACCGCCCGUCACUCUCCCCAACAACCCUAACAUUUGAUAACUAACACAACAACGAUUACAAGGGGAGGCAAGUCGUAACAUGGUAAGUGUACCGGAAGGUGCACUUGGAAUAAC
RNAcentral lists this ribosomal RNA (363 nucleotides) under Sardinella jussieu (Mauritian sardinella). RNAcentral describes it as "partial 12S ribosomal RNA". It matches the Rfam family "Bacterial small subunit ribosomal RNA", at positions 1019 to 1527 of the family's 1533-position model. The record is from RNAcentral. Lineage: Eukaryota; Metazoa; Chordata; Actinopteri; Clupeiformes; Clupeidae.